Mauremys reevesii (Reeves's turtle) is the source of this 490-nucleotide long non-coding RNA. RefSeq lists it as uncharacterized. The transcript has 4 exons. The record is from RefSeq and is a predicted model, not a curated record. Lineage: Eukaryota; Metazoa; Chordata; Testudines; Geoemydidae.
AGCAGGAGCAGACUGACUGGGUCACGAGCUAGGAUACUGUGCUGCAAGCACAGGCCACAGAAGACGUCUCCUGCCCGCACAGAUUCCCCUUUACAAACCCUGCUCCCAAGUGCAGAUAGACACACACCCUAACUGAGAGAGGUGUGCACAACUGAACAGUUUGAUUGGUGAUGUCAGUCAUCGAGAUGUGCAGGACCGCGGCCUCGUUCAAUACACAGGAUGGCCCUGCUUUCGGAGCGAAUUAGGGGUGUGCGGUGAAGGAAAUUGUUGUCUGUGAGACACCUGCCCCAUUUGUUACAGAAGUGAGAGGGCAGAUGAUGAGGACAUCCUGUGCAAGCCUACAAAAGGAAAAUCAACAUGAGAAAUCAUAAUUUAAUCUGCUGGAUGGGAUUAAUAGAACUGAGAGAAUGGUCACAUUUGGAACAUAACUUGGAUAUUUCAACAUUCUCUUGCCUGGUGGUGAAGAAGAAAUAUGGUCAGAAAAGGAACC